This 293-nucleotide ribosomal RNA is filed under the name Campylobacter jejuni. Its description in RNAcentral is "partial 23S ribosomal RNA". It matches the Rfam family "Bacterial large subunit ribosomal RNA", at positions 1771 to 2063 of the family's 2925-position model. The record is from RNAcentral. Lineage: Bacteria; Pseudomonadati; Campylobacterota; Epsilonproteobacteria; Campylobacterales; Campylobacteraceae.
AGAAACUUACAACAAAGAGUCCCUCCCGACUGUUUACCAAAAACACAGCACUCUGCUAACUCGUAAGAGGAUGUAUAGGGUGUGACGCCUGCCCGGUGCUCGAAGGUUAAUUGAUGGGGUUAGCAUUAGCGAAGCUCUUGAUCGAAGCCCGAGUAAACGGCGGCCGUAACUAUAACGGUCCUAAGGUAGCGAAAUUCCUUGUCGGUUAAAUACCGACCUGCAUGAAUGGCGUAACGAGAUGGGAGCUGUCUCAAAGAGGGAUCCAGUGAAAUUGUAGUGGAGGUGAAAAUUCC